RNAcentral lists this small RNA (136 nucleotides) under Pseudomonas cannabina. Lineage: Bacteria; Pseudomonadati; Pseudomonadota; Gammaproteobacteria; Pseudomonadales; Pseudomonadaceae. The record is from RNAcentral.
UGUGCCAACGGACAGGUACAGGCCAUCAAGGAUAAUGAAGGCUAUGGACAUCGCAGGAUGCGAUUCAUCAGGAUGAUGACAAGGGAAUACAGGGGUUAGGGAGAAAAUGUGGGCGGGUCAAACCGCCCCUUUUUUU